UACCUGAAAAACAUAGUGAGCGAGCUACCC
This 30-nucleotide non-coding RNA is filed under the name Rattus norvegicus (Norway rat). Lineage: Eukaryota; Metazoa; Chordata; Mammalia; Rodentia; Muridae. The record is from RNAcentral.